Paramuricea clavata is the source of this 311-nucleotide non-coding RNA. Lineage: Eukaryota; Metazoa; Cnidaria; Anthozoa; Malacalcyonacea; Plexauridae. The record is from the annotation of a GenBank genome assembly.
GUAAAAGUACGUGAUUUUUGUUAAUUUGCCCGAGUCCACCGUCCCAGCGAAGCAAUCACGACACCAAGUGUUGAGCGCCCGGAAAAAGUUCCGCUUAUGCUUUCGGUAAUUCUAUUCUAUGCAUAAUCACGUCGAUAUUCGUCAACUAAUUCCGGUUGCCAUCCGUUUAGAAUAUGUUCGUUAAAUCGUUGCAUUCGCGGCUGGAACAGAAUGCUUCCGAACCGUACAAACUGAAAGUCAGUCGACAUGAACUGAAGUCUCAAAGCGUAAAAGCGCAGCGCAAAAUGCUAUAAAACUUACUUAGAUUGGAU